UACCGAGGGUUCGAAUCCCUCUCUUUC
Molecule: transfer RNA, 27 nt
Filed under: Syntrichia sarconeurum
Lineage: Eukaryota; Viridiplantae; Streptophyta; Bryopsida; Pottiales; Pottiaceae
Also listed under: 1 other name
Description: partial tRNA-Ser
Source: RNAcentral